AGUGAACGCUGGCGGUAGGCCUAACACAUGCAAGUCGAACGGCAGCACAGUAAGAGCUUGCUCUUACGGGUGGCGAGUGGCGGACGGGUGAGGAAUACAUCGGAAUCUACUUUUUCGUGGGGGAUAACGUAGGGAAACUUACGCUAAUACCGCAUACGACCUACGGGUGAAAGCAGUGGAUCUUCGGACCUUGCGCGAUUGAAUGAGCCGAUGUCGGAUUAGCUAGUUGGCGGGGUAAAGGCCCACCAAGGCGACGAUCCGUAGCUGGUCUGAGAGGAUGAUCAGCCACACUGGAACUGAGACACGGUCCAGACGCCUACGGGAGGCAGCAGUGGGGAAUAUUGGACAAUGGGCGCAAGCCUGAUCCAGCCAUACCGCGUGGGUGAAGAAGGCCUUCGGGUUGUAAAGCCCUUUUGUUGGGAAAGAAAAGCAGCAGGUUAAUACCCCGCUGUUCUGACGGUACCCAAAGAAUAAGCACCGGCUAACUUCGUG
Molecule: ribosomal RNA, 492 nt
Filed under: uncultured bacterium
Lineage: Bacteria
Description: partial 16S ribosomal RNA
Rfam family: Bacterial small subunit ribosomal RNA
Source: RNAcentral